This is a long non-coding RNA of Telopea speciosissima, 95 nucleotides long. RefSeq lists it as uncharacterized. The transcript has 4 exons. The record is from RefSeq and is a predicted model, not a curated record. Lineage: Eukaryota; Viridiplantae; Streptophyta; Magnoliopsida; Proteales; Proteaceae.
UAUUGGAUGGCUUUCUUGCUCUAUUUUUUGUACUACCUGUCUCUCUAUUUUCUAAUUGAUCACUGACAAUGGUAUAACUUAAUUCUUCGUCUGUA